Molecule: ribosomal RNA, 253 nt
Filed under: uncultured bacterium
Lineage: Bacteria
Description: partial 16S ribosomal RNA
Rfam family: Bacterial small subunit ribosomal RNA
Source: RNAcentral
UACGUAGGGACCAAGCGUUGUUCGGAUUUACUGGGCGUAAAGGGCGCGUAGGCGGCUUGACAAGUCACUUGUGAAAUAUCCCGGCUUAACCGGGAGGGGUUAUGCCAGACUGUCAGUCUUGAGUGCGAGAGAGGAGCGUGGAAUUCCGGGUGUAGUGGUGAAAUGCGUAGAGAUCCGGAGGAACCCCAGAGGCGAAGGCGGCGCUCUGGCUCGCAACUGACGCUCAGACACGACAGCAUGGGGAGCGAACGGG